CACGUAGGGACCGAGCGUUGUCCGGAUUUAUUGGGCGUAAAGAGCUCGUAGGCGGUUCAGCAAGUCGGGUGUGAAAACUCUGGGCUCAACCCAGAGACGCCACCCGAUACUGCUGUGACUAGAGUCCGGUAGGGGAGUGGGGAAUUCCUGGUGUAGCGGUGAAAUGCGCAGAUAUCAGGAGGAACACCGGUGGCGAAGGCGCCACUCUGGGCCGGCACUGACGCUGAGGAGCGAAAGCGUGGGUAGCAAACAGG
RNAcentral lists this ribosomal RNA (254 nucleotides) under uncultured bacterium. RNAcentral's name for it is "partial 16S ribosomal RNA". It matches the Rfam family "Bacterial small subunit ribosomal RNA", at positions 524 to 776 of the family's 1533-position model. The record is from RNAcentral.